RNAcentral lists this ribosomal RNA (460 nucleotides) under uncultured bacterium. Its description in RNAcentral is "partial 16S ribosomal RNA". It matches the Rfam family "Bacterial small subunit ribosomal RNA", at positions 338 to 795 of the family's 1533-position model. The record is from RNAcentral.
CCUACGGGUGGCAGCAGUGAGGAAUAUUGGUCAAUGGGCGCGAGCCUGAACCAGCCAAGUAGCGUGAAGGAUGACUGCCCUACGGGUUGUAAACUUCUUUUAUAAAGGAAUAAAGUGAGGCACGUGUGCCUUUUUGUAUGUAUUUUAUGAAUAAGGAUCGGCUAACUCCGUGCCAGCAGCCGCGGUAAUACGGAGGAUCCGAGCGUUAUCCGGAUUUAUUGGGUUUAAAGGGAGCGUAGAUGGGUUGUUAAGUCAGUUGUGAAAGUUUGCGGCUCAACCGUAAAAUUGCAAUUGAUACUGGCGGUCUUGAGUAUAGUUGAGGUAGGCGGAAUUCGUGGUGUAGCGGUGAAAUGCUUAGAGAUCACGAAGAACUCCGAUUGCGAAGGCAGCUUACUAAACUGCCACUGACAUUGAUGCUCGAAAGUGUGGGUAUCAAACAGGAUUAGAUACCCUUGUAGUC